UCCGGUUUGGCACCGGCAGUCUCCCAUGAGUCCCCGGCAUGACCCGCUGGCAACAUGGGACAGGGGUUGCGCUCGUUGCGCCACUUAAGGCAACACCUCACGGCACGAGCUGACGACAGCCAUGCAGCACCUGUGCGGGCUCCCGAAGGAGCGCCGUGUUUCCGUGGCUUUUCCUGCGUAGUUCAGCCCAGGUAAGGUUCUUCGCGUCACAUCGAAUUAAACCACAUGCUCCACCGCUUGUGCGGGCCCCCGUCAAUUCCUUUGAGUUUCAGCCUUGCGGCCGUACUCCCCAGGCGGGGCACUUACUGCGUUAGCGACGGCACCGGGAGGGUCGCUCCCCCCGACGCCUAGUGCCCAUCGUUUACGGCGUGGACUAC
RNAcentral lists this unclassified non-coding RNA (377 nucleotides) under uncultured bacterium. Its description in RNAcentral is "contains 16S-23S intergenic spacer region". The record is from RNAcentral.